GAAUGAUAAUGGUAUUAUUAAAGUAAAACUCUGAAGACCUGAUGGAAUUCAGAAAAUGCACAAGCUCUGAUUAAUAUUCUAAACAGAUCCAGCCUUUUCUAGGAACUCAGUAGCAGUCUAAGAUCAAGGAUUCACCUGGUUUCUUUUUAGAGAAAAACAUGAAAGCUGGAAUGAAGUUUUAUUGGAAGUUGUACACCUUCAUUAUCAGUAACUGGCAAAUGAGUAGUGGAGUGACAGAAGCCUGAAGUGUCCCUCUACUAGGAAGGAGUCCAUCAAAAGCUGAUAUGAAGCUGUAACAUCCUUCCUGGAAAUGGGAACCUUUCCACCAGAGUG
Parus major (Great Tit) is the source of this 333-nucleotide long non-coding RNA. RefSeq lists it as uncharacterized. The record is from RefSeq and is a predicted model, not a curated record. The transcript has 4 exons. NCBI's taxonomy places the organism in Eukaryota, Metazoa, Chordata, Aves, Passeriformes, Paridae.